GAAUGACUCUCGGCAACGGAUAUCUCGGCUCUUGCAUCGAUGAAGAACGUAGCGAAAUGCGAUACUUGGUGUGAAUUGCAGAAUCCCGUGAACCAUCGAGUCUUUGAACGCAAGUUGCGCCCGAAGCCAUUAGGCCGAGGGCACGCCUGCCUGGUGUCACAC
RNAcentral lists this ribosomal RNA (162 nucleotides) under Lespedeza repens. RNAcentral's name for it is "5.8S ribosomal RNA". It matches the Rfam family "5.8S ribosomal RNA". Rfam says of the family: 5.8S ribosomal RNA (5.8S rRNA) is a component of the large subunit of the eukaryotic ribosome. It is transcribed by RNA polymerase I as part of the 45S precursor that also contains 18S and 28S rRNA. Lineage: Eukaryota; Viridiplantae; Streptophyta; Magnoliopsida; Fabales; Fabaceae. The record is from RNAcentral.